CGCGUAGGCGGCUAGAAAAGUCGGAUGUGAAAUUCCGGGGCUCAACCCCGGAGCUGCAUUUGAAACUCUCUAGCUAGAGUACAGUUAGGGUAAACGGAAUUCCACGUGUAGCGGUGAAAUGCGUAGAUAUGUGGAAGAACACCGGUGGUGAAGACGGUUUACUGGGCUGUAACUGACGCUGAGGCGCGAAAGCAUGGGGAGGCAAAACA
Molecule: ribosomal RNA, 209 nt
Filed under: uncultured bacterium
Lineage: Bacteria
Description: partial 16S ribosomal RNA
Rfam family: Bacterial small subunit ribosomal RNA
Source: RNAcentral